RNAcentral lists this ribosomal RNA (405 nucleotides) under uncultured bacterium. RNAcentral describes it as "bacterial SSU rRNA". It matches the Rfam family "Bacterial small subunit ribosomal RNA", at positions 97 to 520 of the family's 1533-position model. The record is from RNAcentral.
GGCGAACGGGUGAGUAACACGUGAGGAACCUGCCCCGAAGACCGGGACAACACCGGGAAACCGGUGCUAAUACCGGAUGCCUACACCGGAUCGCAUGGUCUGGUGAAGAAAUGGAUUCCGCUUCGGGAUGGCCUCGCGGCCUAUCAGCUAGUUGGUGAGGUAACGGCUCACCAAGGCGACGACGGGUAGCUGGUCUGAGAGGAUGUCCGGCCACACUGGGACUGAGACACGGCCCAGACUCCUACGGGAGGCAGCAGUUAGGAAUCUUGCGCAAUGGACGAAAGUCUGACGCAGCGACGCCGCGUGCGGGAUGAAGGCCCUCGGGUUGUAAACCGCUUUCAGCAGGGACGAAAUUGACGGUACCUGCAGAAGAAGCCCCGGCCAACUACGUGCCAGCCGCCGCGG